AAAAAAAAAAAAAAACCGGGGAAUCUUUAGAAAGCACAGUGGAAACAGAUGUCUGUUUUUACAAGCCCAUCACUGCACAGAAUGCAAUAUGGGAGGGUUUCACUAAUGGUUAACCAUAACCACACUCCAGCGUGAGCCCAGCCACUAGGCAAUGUGCUGAUAAGGAUUCUAAGUGGUUUAUGUGGACUCCUCAUGACCUAUGACACACAUACGUUUACAGUGGAGUGGAACGAGGCAGGAGGGCUUCUCUUUGUCAUAGUCUACCAGCUCUGCAGAGGUGUCAGCUACAUCCGGAUUGGCUCAGGGAGCGGCCGUCAGAAGACUUACACGUGUUUAAUAACUGAGGCUUGAACAUGAAGUACAGGAACGUGCAUCUUAUUUUUGGAAGAUGGAGCCCCGUUGGGGGAAUUUGAGCAGUGGAGGGUCACAGCCAGGGUCUCGUCCAGGCUGAAGUGCUGUGGUGCGAUCUCGGCUCAUUGCAGCCUCGACCUCCUGUACCCAAGUGAUCCUCCCACCUCAGCCUCUCAAGUAGCUGGGACUACAGGUGUGUGCCACCACGCCGGACUGGUUUUAUUUUUUGUAGAGAUGGGGCCUCACAAUGCUGAUCUGACUGACUCGAACUCCUGAGCUCAAGCUAUCCUCCCCACUUGCCCUCCCAAAGUAUUGGGAUUACAGGUGUGAGCCACUGCACCUGGUUAUGCUUCUUUUUUAUUUUUUUUCUUUCUUUUUUUUUUUUUUU
This 739-nucleotide long non-coding RNA is filed under the name Homo sapiens (human). Its description in RNAcentral is "HSALNT0262178". The record is from RNAcentral. Lineage: Eukaryota; Metazoa; Chordata; Mammalia; Primates; Hominidae.